GUGCCAGCAGCCGCGGUAAUACAGAGGUCUCAAGCGUUGUUCGGAUUCAUUGGGCGUAAAGGGUGUGUAGGUGGCGCGCUAAGUCGGGUGUGAAAUUUCGGAGCUUAACUCCGAAACUGCAUUCGAUACUGGCGUGCUUGAGGACUGGAGAGGAGACUGGAAUUCAUGGUGUAGCAGUGAAAUGCGUAGAGAUCAUGAGGAAGACCAGUGGCGAAGGCGGGUCUCUGGACAGUUCCUGACACUGAGACACGAAGGCCAGGGGAGCAAACGGGAUUAGAUACCCCGGUAGUCC
Molecule: ribosomal RNA, 292 nt
Filed under: uncultured bacterium
Lineage: Bacteria
Description: partial 16S ribosomal RNA
Rfam family: Bacterial small subunit ribosomal RNA
Source: RNAcentral